This 1064-nucleotide unclassified non-coding RNA is filed under the name Hevea brasiliensis (rubber tree). The record is from RNAcentral. Lineage: Eukaryota; Viridiplantae; Streptophyta; Magnoliopsida; Malpighiales; Euphorbiaceae.
CAGAACAGCAGCCUCCUCCAAUUUGAUCUCCUUUGGAGUUUUCAUGUAAUUAUGCCAUCGAUGAGCCCCAUUGGGACGAAGAUGGUCCUGAACUCGAGCAGCUGCUUUACCAUUUCCAUACGUCAAAAAGUAAUUUGGAUUGCCACGGGUUGCUUCUUUAUACAUGCCAAAAUAUGUAUCCUUCGUUAGAUGGUCAUAAUUCUUCUUGAACAUUGAUACCUCUGUAAAAGGAUCCUUGAUGUCCUCUCGUUCAACACUGCUCUCAUAGUUAGGAAAGAUAACCAUGUCAACGUUUGAAGGCACGUCAAGAAGCAACUGCCUCAAAGAAUACUCUCGAGCACCGGCCGGGUGUAUUAACUCAUCUGUGUCUAGAUGAAUUAUCCAAUCCAUACCAGCAUCCCUUGCCAUCACUAUGGCCAUCUCCAUAUUAAGAGAUUGCUUCACAAAGAGCUCGUAAUUGCAAGGUUUAUAAAAGAAACUGGACAGCCACGUUUCAUUCCAAAUCCGGCUUUUGGCUUGUUGCUCCUCUAGCUUUCUUGUUCUGUAUAUUACUUUUACUCCUGGAAUGGAUUCAAGGACUUUAGAAACAUCAGGAGAUGCCGCCUUCCCUUCCACAAAAAGCAAAAAUGAUGUUACCCCAAUUACUUUAUGAUAGAACAUCCACGGUAAAAUCUGCUCUAGGCCAGCAGAUGUACUGGUUGUAAUACAUAUCUUGGGUUUGAGAUCUGGAUGAAGUUUAAAUUUCCAGUCUUUAUAGUAAGGGAACGACGGCGUAUUGGUAUGAGCAAGAAGAGAACAAUCUGAUGACUGAGAAGAGUGAGCAACAGUGGCUAAAGGAGAAGUGUCCAUGCCCGGAAACUUAUGAGACUCUUCAGGAGACCAUCGAGAGAUUGGAUCGUCAACUCCACCACCACGCCAUUGAAGAAAAAAAGCAAAAACAGCCAAAGAUAGAGGAAGGAUUGUAAGGAGAAGAAGAAGCUUCGAGAAGAAAGAUUGCUGUGAAGAUGAAGAAGAAGAAGAUGGUGGUUGGGGUCUGAGAGAGGUGUAGAGACCCGCCAUUGGAG